Long non-coding RNA from Capra hircus (goat), 1594 nucleotides. RefSeq lists it as uncharacterized. The transcript is spliced from 3 exons. NCBI's taxonomy places the organism in Eukaryota, Metazoa, Chordata, Mammalia, Artiodactyla, Bovidae. The record is from RefSeq and is a predicted model, not a curated record.
CACAUACCUGGGAUUGAGGUCGGAAAAGGGAAUGAAACCACAGAUAACGAGUUCCUUCCACCUGUCAGACCCACACCCAGCUCCUCGCCUUCAGGCUCUGAGGCCAUCACUGCCCCCACCACCCCUCUUGGGGACCUUCUGUUCAUACCUUUGAUCACGUCGUGUGAAUUCCUAUCUCCAGAUUCUGUUUCUUUUCCUCUUACUGGCUGGAAUGCUUUUGUCUCCUUACCUAAUUAGCCAUUUUCCAGAGCCCAAUUCCAGACUGGUCUCCACCUAGACUGGUCAUAAGACUGGUGACCUGCAGCUCCUCUAAACUCUAAAUUAAGUUCUCUUGUAUUCCACAGAACUUGGUGCUUCUAGGCUAGCAAGCACCCCUCAGCAUUCACCCCAGCCUGCCUUCUCUCCCAAGGCUUUUCUACAGUCUCCCCAUGUGUAUUCAGGGUCCCAUUCACUUGUGCCCCUGCCCCAUGGAAACUUGGAGAGCAUUCUGACUUAGCUAGAGACACAGAACAAUAAUAGUUUAUUCACUUUCUGCUUCCCCUGAUGAAAGAAGAGGCCCUCAGUAAAAGGCCCUGCUCAUAGCCAUCCUGCCCCGCAUUCCUUCCCAGGCCUCAGGGCCCACUUCUCGCUGGAACUGAGCCUGGGGAGGUUGCUUCUCUAUGGACUCAAGAUCCCCCAUGGUAGGUUAUCCUGGGACUGUGAAGUUCUUCAAAAAUAGAAAAAUUCAAGUUACAUAUUCCUAAGACCAAUUGUUUAAUGUCUGUCUGCAGUAAGUAUUCUAAAAGGACGUGGGUUGUGUGUAAUGAACUUCAAUAAUGAACUCCACUGUUUAAAAUGGAACGUAGAAAGUGCUUGGUAAGUGUUAAUUAGGUGAGUUAAAGUGUCCCUGGUGAAUCCAGACUUCUUGAGUUGCUUUCAAGUACCUCAGUUUUGUGCAGCAUAGAGAUUUAUAUUUUGAGGGCAUAUACUAUAUUUCUAUUUCUUUCUUUCUAAUGUCUUUUAUAAUGAAAGAGCAUGUUAUGGAGGAAAAAGAGGAAAGAAGAUGUGAAAGCUAUUGAGGGAGGCAGGUUGGGAGAGGAAAGGGAUAGGGGCUUGAGGGAGGAGCAUCCUCUAGAACCUGCAGACUCAUUGCAUUCACCUCAUCCAGUUGGUCCCUUCCAUCCACAUACUCAUAGCAGUUUCUCCCUUUGGUGAUCUGAGUGUCAGAAAAAGACUUAAAAGCUUACUUCUCUCUCUCUUUUUAUUUUUUGGCGGGAGGUAAUAGAAUCCCUCUGCUGUCAUCAGUGCUGUUCAGCCUGCAUGGAUUCAACUGCCAGUUGUGACCACGUGGUAUUAAAAGACUUCAGAAAUGAGAUAUAAAUAAAACCCCAAAGUGUUUUCCAUGAAAGGAGGCAUCCAGUAGGAGGACAGUGGAUCCACAGAGGAAAGAAAAGAAAAUCGUUCCUCUUUUUUCCUUUUCACUGCAACACUGAUAGAAGCAACUUAGACCAGAAGGAGUGGCCUUCAGGAGCCCAGCUUCAUUCUCUCAUUCUUUUAUAAAAGCACGGUGUCAGAGUUUGAGACACCUCCAGGAGAAAAACAGAAGUUUAAUAGC